GCAGUCGAGCGAACAGAUAAGGAGCUUGCUCCUUUGACGUUAGCGGCGGACGGGUGAGUAACACGUGGAUAACCUACCUAUAAGACUGGGAUAACUUCGGGAAACCGGAGCUAAUACCGGAUAACAUAUUGAACCGCAUGGUUCAGUAGUGAAAGGCGGCUUUGCUGUCACUUAUAGAUGGAUCCGCGCCGUAUUAGCUAGUUGGUAAGGUAACGGCUUACCAAGGCAACGAUACGUAGCCGACCUGAGAGGGUGAUCGGCCACACUGGAACUGAGACACGGUCCAGACUCCUACGGGAGGCAGCAGUAGGGAAUCUUCCGCAAUGGGCGAAAGCCUGACGGAGCAACGCCGCGUGAGUGAUGAAGGUCUUCGGAUCGUAAAACUCUGUUAUCAGGGAAGAACAAAUGUGUAAGUAACUGUGCACAUCUUGACGGUACCUGAUCAGAAAGCCACGGCUAACUACGUGCCAGCAGCCGCGGUAAUACGUAGGUGGCAAGCGUUAUCCGGAAUUAUUGGGCGUAAAGCGCGCGUAGGCGGUUUUUUAAGUCUGAUGUGAAAGCCCACGGCUCAACCGUGGAGGGUCAUUGGAAACUGGAAAACUUGAGUGCAGAAGAGGAAAGUGGAAUUCCAUGUGUAGCGGUGAAAUGCGCAGAGAUAUGGAGGAACACCAGUGGCGAAGGCGACUUUCUGGUCUGUAACUGACGCUGAUGUGCGAAAGCGUGGGGAUCAAACAGGAUUAGAUACCCUGGUAGUCCACGCCGUAAACGAUGAGUGCUAAGUGUUAGGGGGUUUCCGCCCCUUAGUGCUGCAGCUAACGCAUUAAGCACUCCGCCUGGGGAGUACGACCGCAAGGUUGAAACUCAAAGGAAUUGACGGGGACCCGCACAAGCGGUGGAGCAUGUGGUUUAAUUCGAAGCAACGCGAAGAACCUUACCAAAUCUUGACAUCCUUUGACCGCUCUAGAAAUAGAGUUUUCCCC
RNAcentral lists this ribosomal RNA (980 nucleotides) under Staphylococcus warneri. RNAcentral describes it as "bacterial SSU rRNA". It matches the Rfam family "Bacterial small subunit ribosomal RNA", at positions 57 to 1019 of the family's 1533-position model. The record is from RNAcentral. Lineage: Bacteria; Bacillati; Bacillota; Bacilli; Caryophanales; Staphylococcaceae.